CCUACGGGAGGCAGCAGUGAGGAAUAUUGGUCAAUGGACGGAAGUCUGAACCAGCCAUGCCGCGUGCAGGAAGACGGCUCUAUGAGUUGUAAACUGCUUUUGUACAAGGGUAAACCUGAAUACGUGUAUUCAGCUGAAAGUACUGUACGAAUAAGGAUCGGCUAACUCCGUGCCAGCAGCCGCGGUAAUACGGAGGAUCCAAGCGUUAUCCGGAUUUAUUGGGUUUAAAGGGUGCGUAGGCGGAUUGAUAAGUUAGAGGUGAAAUGUCCGAGCUUAACUCGGGAACUGCCUCUAAUACUGUUGGUCUAGAGAGUAGAUGCGGUAGGCGGAAUGUAUGGUGUAGCGGUGAAAUGCUUAGAGAUCAUACAGAACACCGAUUGCGAAGGCAGCUUACCAAUCUAUAUCUGACGUUGAGGCACGAAAGCGUGGGGAGCAAACAGGAUUAGAUACCCCGGUAGUC
Molecule: ribosomal RNA, 460 nt
Filed under: uncultured bacterium
Lineage: Bacteria
Description: partial 16S ribosomal RNA
Rfam family: Bacterial small subunit ribosomal RNA
Source: RNAcentral